AGAAGCUAGUAAUAUGGCACGUCCAGGGUCUCCACUCUCUAGAGAACUUUGUUUCUGUAGUUGAGCUCGACUUGGGAAACAUACCCGAACUGGCCAUGAUAUCCAAUCUUCAAAAGUUACAAAAUCUUGAAAUCAGUUACUGCCCGAAGCUCAAGACACUGAAAGAGAUGGAUGCCCUCAGGCGGCUCCAGCUGACAGUUCCUUUCUGGGAAAAUCAACUUCCAUUCUACCUGCAGACUGUAAGGCCUUGUCAUUUGCUGCUGACAUGUAACCUAGCAGUACUCACUUCCAUGGCUGAGGGUGAAUCUAGCUCCGAAUGGGACAAGUUCAGUCAUAUCAAGCAAGUCGAGGCUUAUGCAGAGGAUGGAGGAGAUGAGAAGAAAUGGCACGUGCUCUACACAUCUGAGUCCUCCAACAUACAAACAAAUAUUCAACAGGAUCGAUUGGUGGAAGAAGAGGACUAGGCUGCAACUCCAGCAGAAUGAGGAAGGGUAUAUCAUUUUAGGAUAUAUGGAUACGGGGAAGGCAUCAGCAUAAUGACAUAUACACUUACCUGGAGAGAUUCCGACAUCGUACUAAUUUCUUGCGAAGUGCGACAUAUACACUUGUGAAUCUAGAGAUGAACUUUUUGGCGGACUAUCUAGCUGGUGAAGAAACAUGGUGACCUUGGCAAGGCUGUCCUUUGUUUAGUGCAAGCAACUAACGGAGUUUAUGCUACUCUGCUUUGCUCUGCUCUCUGAAAGCAG
Triticum urartu is the source of this 746-nucleotide non-coding RNA. The record is from RefSeq and is a predicted model, not a curated record. Lineage: Eukaryota; Viridiplantae; Streptophyta; Magnoliopsida; Poales; Poaceae.